GAUGAACGCUGGCGGCGUGUCUAAGGCAUGCAAGUCGAAUGGUCUGGUUUCCAGACCAUGGCAAACGGGAGAGUAACACAUUGGUAAUUUACCCCAAAGACGAGGAUAAUUCAGAGAAAUCUGGGAUAAUACUCGAUAUUAUGCGCUAUCAUAUGAUAGCUCAUCAAAGCUCCGGCGCUUUGGGAGAAGCCUAUGGUCUAUCAGCUAGUUGGUGAGGUAAUGGCUCACCAAGGCAACGACGGAUAGCGGGUGUGAGAGCAUGGCCCGUCUCACUGGGACUGAGACACUGCCCAGACUCCUACGGGAGGCUGCAGUCAAGAAUAUUCCUCAAUGGCCGAAAGGCUGAAGGAGCGACGCCGCGUGUAUGAUGACGCCUUUCGGGGUGUAAAAUACUUUUAACCGGGACGAAAUACUGACGGUACCGGUUGAAUAAGGGGCUGCUAACCUCGUGCCAGCAGCAGCGGUAAUACGAGGGCCCCAAGCGUUAUCCGGAUUUAUUGGGCGUAAAGAGUGUGUAGGCGGUUUAUAACAUCUCCUGUUAAAUCUCAAGGCUCAACCUUGAGGCCGCGGGAGAUAUGGAUAAACUAGAGUUCGGAAGAGGCAAGUGGAAUUGCUGGUGUAGGGGUUAAAUCCGUUAAUAUCAGCAGGAACACCAAAAGCGAAGGCAGCUUGCUGGGACGAUACUGACGCUGAGACACGAAAGCGUGGGGAGCGAAUG
This 718-nucleotide ribosomal RNA is filed under the name uncultured bacterium. RNAcentral describes it as "bacterial SSU rRNA". It matches the Rfam family "Bacterial small subunit ribosomal RNA", at positions 28 to 774 of the family's 1533-position model. The record is from RNAcentral.